This 5867-nucleotide long non-coding RNA is filed under the name Zostera marina. RNAcentral describes it as "long non-coding RNA (ZMAR_LNC002059)". The record is from RNAcentral. Lineage: Eukaryota; Viridiplantae; Streptophyta; Magnoliopsida; Alismatales; Zosteraceae.
UCUGAUGAUGUCCGUGAAUGAGAUGUCACGAGGGAACGUGUUCACCUGAGGAAAGGGGGGAGCCCCAGGUCCGUGGAUCAACAGAUCGCGGAUACCCGGAGGCGAGAGCUGCGGGAUCAAUCCCUUAUUCCAAGACUUAGCCUCUCUAAUCGAAGCUAAAAGCUAGAUUAGGGGAGGGGCUUGGCACGGCAGCGAUUUCGGCACUAAACAGAAGCAGAUUAGGCGUUGUGGAAGCGGCGAUGGCAGGGAAGAACUCGACCUGGGUCGGAGGCGGCGAAUGGAAAAGUGAAUGGGGAAAUUUUUAUAUUCAAAAAUCGAUGCCGAACAAAGAUUCACGAUAGUCUUUUUAUCUAACAGGACUUAAAUGUAAAUACUUAAAAUAAAAAGAGUUUUUUUGCAAAAUUCCCCAUAACUCCUGGGUUCGACCAGAUUGGCUUAGCCACCCUUGAAAUUGACCUGGUAAUCCUUCAUCCACGUCGGUCGUUUCCCCUCCCGGUUCGAUGGCUCGCGUACGCCACUGACUCGGUCCGGUGCAGGACGACUCGGGUCUUCCUCAGAUGGCACGUCCGGUUCCUCUUCCUCAGGCGUGUCUUCUUCCUCAAGUGCGUCCGAGUUCCCUUCCAUUGUUAUCCGGCGCACGUCGUCCUCAAUCUCCCGGAAAUCAAUUUGCUGGACUGCAUCAUCUGUGGCCCCGUCACUAACCAGUUCGUCCUCGAACUGCAAACCAGGGUACAAGCGCUUCAACACGACAGCAUCAACCCAAGAAGAAUCCUCUGGCCACGUUCCACUCCACUGAACUAGUAGCUGCUUUGUAAGUUUUUUUGCUUUUUCCACGAUCCUGUAAUCAAGAAUGCAAAUUGGAUAUAUUAUGGGUUGAUUAUUUAUUGCUAGAAUCGGUGGUUCUUGUUCCCGGGUGUCAAUCGGUCCAGAGAAUUUCCUUAGUUUAGAAACAUGGAACACAUUGUGAAUUUUGCUCCCUGCUGGAAAUUGUAGUUUGUAUGCUGUAGGAUUGAUCUUUUUGAUAAUUUUAUAAGGCCCAAAAUACUUCUGCCCUAGUUUAUUGCUCAGUUUGUGGCUGAGACUGAUUUGUCUGUACGGCUGAAGUUUUACCAGUACAUACUCCCCCUCUUGAAAGUCGAUAUCACUUCGGUGACGGUCUGCUUGCAACUUCAUACGAGCUUGGGCUUUAGACAAAUUUUUCUUUAAGAUCUCUAAUACUUCAUUUCUGUCCUGUAACUCCAUUUCCACAGCAUCAACCUCUGAUGUUCCCUGGCAGAAAUAUGGAAUAGAGUCUGGAUUCUUACCAUACAAGGCCUUGAACGGAGACAUAUUGAUAGCAGAUUGGUAGCUUGUGUUAUACCAAAGUUCGGCCCAUGGUAACAACUUCAACCAUCUCUUUGGGUCUUCAUAACAAUAUGAUCGGAGAUACAUUUGAAGUAUUCGAUUUACCACUUCAGUUUGACCGUCAGAUUGCGGAUGGUAUGCUGAAGAAAAAUGGAGAUCAGUCCCGCUGAUCUGAUUUAAGCAUUUCCAGAACCUUGAUGUAAAUACCUUAUCCCUGUCUGAAACAAUGGACUUAGGAAUACCAUGGAGCUUCAUGAUAUUAUUGGUGAAUUCUUCUGCCACUAAGGUUGCAUUGAAGUUUCGUGGGAGAGGAAUAAAGUGUGCAGAUUUAGAGAGUCGAUCCACCACAACCAUAAUUACUGAUUUUCCCUGAACUUUCGGUAAAUCAGUGAUAAAAUCCAUAGAAACAUCUGACCAGAUAGAUUCUGGCAUGGGCAGAGGCAUCAAUAAGCCAGCAGGCUUCCGGUUGACCGGUUUCAUUUUCUGACAAAUCACGCAUGUGCUUACAUAAUCCUUAAUUGAUUUGGUCAUACCUGUCCACCAAAAAUAAGUUGAAAUUCGUCUCAGUGUCCUAUAAAUUCCAGAGUGGCCCCCGACUGGUGAAUCAUGGAACUGGUGCAGGAUUUUAGUAAUCAAUGGUGAUUCAGCCCUUAAGUAGUAUUUGUCUUUGAAAGUGAUGGCUCCUUCCUUGAUGCCAUAUGAUGAAGGGUCGAGCUCCCCGGACUGAAUUUUCUUCGUCAUAACUUGGAGGUCAUUAUUAUGGAGUACUUCUUGCCGCAAUUCAUCAAGGAUUGAAUUAACAGGUACUGAAAAGGAUAAUAAAGAACCUGGAUCCUUAGCUGAACUGUUAGUAAAUAGAAUUUCUUCUUUGUCCUCUUCAAGUGACCUAGAUAAUGCAUCUGCCACUACAUUCUCCUUGCCGGGUUUGUAUAUGAUAGAGAAGUCGAAGCCUAAGAGCUUGCAUAGAAAUACCUGCUGUUCUGGAGUCUGAAUAGUCUGAGUGAGCAAGUUUUUCAAUGUUUUAUGGUCUGUCUUUAUUAGAAAAUGAUUCCCCAGCAAAUAGUGCCUCCAUUUACCCACUGCCUGGGUAAUAGCAAACAUCUCCUUUACGUAAAUAGACGCAGCCAGCAGUCUACCCGUGAUCUUACAACUAUAGAAAGAUAUGGGAUGGUUUUCCUGUAAAAGAACAGCCCCAACACCUGUAUUGCAUGCAUCAGUCUCCACUAUAAAGGUCCGAUUAAAGUCUGGAAAUGCAAGAACUGGGGCACUAGUCAUCGCCUCCUUUAGCUUUUGAAAACUUGAGGUGGCUUCUUCGUUCCAUGAGAAACUGUCUUUUUUCAGAAGGUUGGUCAUAGGCGUAGCAAUCAGGGCGUAGUUCUUGAUGAACCUUCUGUAAUAACCUGUGAGUCCAAGGAAUCCUCUGAGUUUCUUCAAGGAAUUGGGAAUGGGCCAUUCCACCAUAGCUUUAAUCUUCUCCAGAUCUGGAUGAAUGCCAUCAGAAGCGAUGAUGUGGCCUAAAAACCCCAUAGAUGGUUUGCCAAAUAGACACUUGGAAAGCUUAGCCAAUAACUUGUGUUCUCGUAGAACUUCAAAGACUGAUCUUAGGUGGCUGAUGUGUGUCUCAACUGUGGGACUGUAAAUCAAUAUGUCAUCGAAAAAUAUCAAAACAAAUUUCCUGAGAUAUGGGGCGAAGACAGAAUUCAUAACAGAUUGAAAUGUGCUCGGGGCAUUAGUUAGGCCGAAAGGCAUAACCAUAAAUUCGUAAUGACCUUGGUGGGUCCUGAAAGCUGUCUUUUCGACGUCAGACGGGUGGACUCUUAUCUGGUGAAAGCCCGACCUCAGAUCUAAUUUGGAAAAUAUAAGCGCCCCCUUGAGUUCACCCAACAGUUCAUCCACGGUAGGUAUAGGAAAUUUGUCUUUUAUAGUUAUGGCAUUAAGUGCUCUGUAAUCGACGCACAACCUAUAUCCCCCAUCCUUCUUUUUCACGAUCAAUACCGGUGAAGAGAAAGGGCUGGUGCUGGGCCGAAUUAUUUUCUGUGCUAACAUUUCAGAAAUGAGUUUUUCAAUUUCAGACUUCUGGAACUGGGGGUAUCUGUAUGGUUUGACGUUCAAUGGUUUUGAACCCGGUUCUAGGUGGAUUAGAUGAUCUCUCUCCCUUUGUGGUGGAAGUCCACUAGGAUCCAUGAAAAUAUCACUAUAUUCUCGUACUGUUUUAAUAAUUCCAGCAUCAGAAGUAGAUUCACUGCCCAAUGUCUUAGAUUCACAACUCUCUAUUUGUUCAUAAUAACACAGGUAGGCUUCUGUUGAUUGAGCUACUAAACAUUUGAGUUGUCCCGUAGUCAAAGGCUCAUCAGAAAUCCAUGAAGAUCCUCUCCAAUUCACAGCCUUGCCUUCUCUGAAAAAUUGCAUGGUAAGAGAUGCAAAAUCAAAUGUGACAGGUCCUAAUAAUUUCAGACCUUGGAUUUCGAUCACUAAAUUUGCUCCUGCCAUGGGAAGUAGGAACAAGUCCAUCUUAGUGGUAAUGCCUUGAAUUUUCACUUCCACGUCCUUGCAUAGUUUGGCACAUGUUAAUUUCUCCCCGCUGCCUGUUGACACCUGAAAUGGUUGAAUCAGGUGAAUAGCCAACCGUAGACUGUAAGCUACAUCCUCCUGCAUAAAGUUGUGCGUAGAGCCUGUGUCUACUAGGACACUAAUUGAUUGACACUUCACAAAACCCUCCAAUCUGAUGGUAUUGGAACAAAUGUGUCCCUUGAAGGCAUGAUAGCUGAUUUCUGUUUGGCCCUCAGCACUAACGAUAUUAGUUGAAUCUAUGAACUCUUCCGGCUCUGGAUCUUCCAUGUCUACCACCUCAAUCAAGCAAGAUUCAUCCGCAGCUAAUCUGAACAUCCUACCUUUACACUUGUGGGAAGGGCCAUACUUUUCGUCACAGUUGAAACAGAGUCCUUUAGCUUGUCUUUCCUUUCUUUCAGCAGGUGAUAGUUUCUUAAAAAUCGGUUUAGGAGUACUGUCUACGGUAGUUUGACUGAUUUUGGUACCCAUGGGCAGUUCAUCUCCACUAUCCUUGGCUGAUAAUGGUUGGUAUCCAGACUUCUGAUAUUUUUCUUUAGAUUUAUAUGAGUAUCCUUUGGUUGACUUACUGAGUUGGUUUUCCACAAAGAGUGCCAGAUCAAAAGCUUCCUGUAGAUUACUUGGUUUAUCUCUUACUACCUCAGAUUGUAUUUCUUCCUUCAACCCCGAGAUGAACAUUUCCAGUACAAAAUAAUCUGGCAGACCUAGAACCUUGGUGCUCAGCUCUUCAAAUGCAUUUCUAUAAUCUGUUACAGACCCAUCUUGUGUUAAUUUACUGAGUUUUCCACCAUGUAAUGUCAAGUGAAGGUUGGUGAACUUUCUCAGGACAGCAACAACAAAAUCCUUCCAAUCAGUUAAAAGAUUGCUUGCCUCCAUCCAGGCAAACCAUUUUCUGGCCAGACCAUCCAUGUGAAACGAUGCUAAUAGUAAUUUCUGAUCUUCCGGAAUUUUAUUAAAUAUGAAAUAUCUUCGGACUUGGUAGAGCCAACCUUCCACAUCUGUGCCAUCAAAUCUUGGCAUAACUACUCUGAUAUUCUUUGCAGGUGUAUACUCGUCAUUUUCCAGGACACUUUGAGCAUAUUUAGGUCUGUCUAAAUCCACUAUCGAUUGGUAAAAUGGGGCCUGUACUCUGUCAUUAUCUUGGAUUUUAACAUCUUGGUUGGUACCUGGUUUAGAAGGCUUGAUUGUGUGAUUCUUUGAUAAUUGUCCCACCGUGGUGAUUAAGAGUUCCACUUGCUUGCUGAUUUCCAUGAAAUUGCUAUUAACUGAUUUUCUAAACUCUGCCAUUUCAUUUGUUUGGGAAACUUGUAGGUUCUGGAGGCGAACAAAAUCAGGAUUGGAAGACAAGUUGCUAUUAGUCAUGGUAAUCUUCGAUGUGGCAAUCCUGCACAAUUAUGAGAUCACAGUUGAAAGCACCAGUGAUGAAAUCCGUGAAAGAGAUGUCACGAGGGAACGUGUUCACCUGAGGAAAGGGGGAGCCCCAGGUCCGUGGAUCAACAGAUCGCGGAUACCCGGAGGCGAGAGCUGCGAGAUCAAUCCCUUAUUCCAAGACAGCCUCUCUAAUCGAAGCUAAAAGCUAGAUUAGGGGAGGGGCUUGGCACGGCAGCGAUUUCGGCACUAAACAGAAGCAGAUUAGGCGUUGUGGAAGCGGCGAUGGCAGGGAAGAACUCGACCUGGGUCGGAGGCGGCGAAUGGAAAAGUGAAUGGGGAAAUUUUCCUUCCAAAAAUCGAUGCCGAACAAAGAUUCACGAUAGUCUUUUAAUGUAACAGGACUUAAAUGUAAAUACUUAAAAUAAAAAGAGUUUUUUUGCAAAAUUCCCCAUAACUCCUGGGUUCGACCAGAUUGGCUUAGCCACCCUUGAAAUUGACCUGGUAAUCCUUCAUCCACGUCGGUCGUUUCCCCUCUCGGUUCGACGGCUCGCGUACGCCACUGACGCGGUCCGGUGCAGGACGAC